Molecule: small RNA, 152 nt
Filed under: Beijerinckiaceae bacterium
Lineage: Bacteria; Pseudomonadati; Pseudomonadota; Alphaproteobacteria; Hyphomicrobiales; Beijerinckiaceae
Description: 6S RNA
Rfam family: 6S / SsrS RNA
About the family: E. coli 6S RNA was the first non coding RNA to be sequenced, but its function was unknown until recently. It consists of 184 nucleotides that fold into an extended hairpin structure with a large single-stranded internal bulge.
Source: RNAcentral
GCGGUGCUGCGGGGUGCGUGUUGGAUUGUAUUCCCGGGGCCUUAUCGAUCUCAAGGGAGCUGUCCCUGUUCUUGCCCGUGGGCUUGAGCAUAUGGCGCCCACCUACGUUGUAGGUACCCGGGAUCGAUAUCCCACGGCUUUUGUGGCCCGCA